Non-coding RNA from Phalacrocorax carbo (great cormorant), 941 nucleotides. The record is from RefSeq and is a predicted model, not a curated record. NCBI's taxonomy places the organism in Eukaryota, Metazoa, Chordata, Aves, Suliformes, Phalacrocoracidae.
CGGCCGUGCCGCGUACGGUAGGCGCGGUGUAUUUUUGGGGUUGGAUUCGUGUUGAUUUCUGGGGGCUUCCAGGUGCGGCCGCUCCCCGAGAAGCGAGACCGUGCUGAGGACGUGGUUGUCUGUCCUUCCCCCGGGGAUGCCGUUGACUGCAGCCGUCUCAGGCUUGCGUGGCUUCUCUCUGCCCGGCGUUGCCAUCCUCGCAGCGCGGGGGCGAAAAGGGACACACAGAGCCCUUCCCGGCUGUGGACAGGAGCUGCCUCGGCUGAAGCUGGAGACGCCAACGAAAGGUAAAGCAGAAGAAACUGAAGGCGCUCUGGCUGCCAGCUGCCUUCCUGCUGCAGGCAAGAGAGAGCCUGUCCCUGCAGGUGAGGGAGGGAGGAUCCCCCUUCGUAGCCCGCAGCGGGCCAGGCCACCAACGUGCACCGCAGGGUGGAGGACGGCCUAGAGUCUGGAGCUGCAGAAGAGGCAGGGCGGAGAGGAGGGGAAAGAAGCAUCUGAACGGCUAAAUUGUGCCAGCAGCGCUGAGAGCGAGAGUCGCGCCCGUCGCUCCAGGAGCCAGGCGACGGACGGUCCCUUCCCUGCCAAACGCGGACAAGCGCGUGCCGUGGUUUAGCCCCAGCUGGCAACUCUGCACCAGGGAGCUGCUUGCUCGCUCCACCCUCAGUGGGCUGGGGGAGAGAGCUGGAAGGGUAAAAGUGAGAAAAAUCAUGGGCUGAGAUCAAGACUGUUUAAUAGGUAAAGCAAAAGCUGUGCGUGGAAGCAAAGCAAGGAAUUAAUUCACUCCUCCUUUUCGGCGGGCAGGUGUUGAGCCACCUCUGGGAAAGCAGGGCUCUGUCAUGUGUCAUGGUUACUUAGGGAGAGAAAUGCCAUAGCCCCCCCCCCCCCCCAAGGACUCCCCCUUCUUCCCCCAGCUGCGUGUGCUGAGCAUGAUGUCAAAUGGU